Molecule: transfer RNA, 73 nt
Filed under: Anguilla anguilla (European eel)
Lineage: Eukaryota; Metazoa; Chordata; Actinopteri; Anguilliformes; Anguillidae
Description: tRNA-Tyr
Rfam family: tRNA
About the family: Transfer RNA (tRNA) molecules are approximately 80 nucleotides in length. Their secondary structure includes four short double-helical elements and three loops (D, anti-codon, and T loops).
Source: RNAcentral
CCCUCGAUAGCUCAGUUGGAAGAGCGGAGGACUGUAGAUCCUUAGGUCGCUGGUUCGACUCCGGCUCGAAGGA